This 301-nucleotide ribosomal RNA is filed under the name uncultured bacterium. Its description in RNAcentral is "partial 16S ribosomal RNA". It matches the Rfam family "Bacterial small subunit ribosomal RNA", at positions 509 to 807 of the family's 1533-position model. The record is from RNAcentral.
CAGUCGCCGCGGUAAUACGGAGGGGGCUAGCGUUGUUCGGAAUUACUGGGCGUAAAGCGCACGUAGGCGGCUUGGUAAGUUAGAGGUGAAAGCCUGGAGCUCAACUCCAGAAUUGCCUUUAAGACUGCCGAGCUAGCAGGUGAGAGAGGUAAGUGGAAUUCCGAGUGUAGAGGUGAAAUUCGUAGAUAUUCGGAAGAACACCAGUGGCGAAGGCGGCUUACUGGCUCAUACUGGACGCUGAGGUGCGGAAGCGUGGGGAGCAAACAGGAUUAGAUACCCCAGUAGUCCCUGUCUCUUAUAC